ACUCAAAUGAAUAGACGGGGACCCACACAAGCGGUGGAGCAUGGGGUUUAAUUCGAUAGUAAGCGAAGAACCUCACCUAGGCUUGACAUCUUUGGAAUCGACUGGAAACAGUUGAGUGCCGCAAGGAACCAAAAGACAGGCGCUGCACGGUUGUCGUCAGCUCGUGCCUUGAGGUGUACUGUUAAGUCAGCGAACGAGCGCAACCCUCAUCCUGUGUUGUUUUUUCACGGGAGACUGCCGCCUCCAAGGCGGAGGAAGGUGGGGAUGACGUCAAAUCAGCGUGGCCCUUAUGCCUAGGGCGACACCCGUGCUACAAUGGCCGGUACAAACCGCAGCAAACCCGCGAGGGGGAGCCAAUCGGAAAAAGCCGGUCUCAGUUCGGAUUGAAGUCUGCAACUCGACUUCAUGAAGUUGGAAUCGCUAGUAACCGUGAAUCAGCCAUGUCACGGUGAAUAAGUUCCUGGGUCUUGUACACACCGCCCGU
Molecule: ribosomal RNA, 484 nt
Filed under: uncultured bacterium
Lineage: Bacteria
Description: partial 16S ribosomal RNA
Rfam family: Bacterial small subunit ribosomal RNA
Source: RNAcentral